GAUGAACGCUGGCGGCGUGCCUAAUACAUGCAAGUCGAGCGAACGGACGAGAAGCUUGCUUCUCUGAUGUUAGCGGCGGACGGGUGAGUAACACGUGGAUAACCUACCUAUAAGACUGGGAUAACUUCGGGAAACCGUAGCUAAUACCGGAUAAUAUUUUGAACCGCAUGGUUCAAAAGUGAAAGACGGUCUUGCUGUCACUUAUAGAUGGAUCCGCGCUGCAUUAGCUAGUUGGUAAGGUAACGGCUUACCAAGGCAACGAUGCAUAGCCGACCUGAGAGGGUGAUCGGCCACACUGGAACUGAGACACGGUCCAGACUCCUACGGGAGGCAGCAGUAGGGAAUCUUCCGCAAUGGGCGAAAGCCUGACGGAGCAACGACGCGUGAGUGAUGAAGGUCUUCGGAUCGUAAAACUCUGUUAUUAGGGAAGAACAUAUGUGUAAGUAACUGUGCACAUCUUGACGGUACCUAAUCAGAAAGCCGCGGCUAACUACGUG
Molecule: ribosomal RNA, 497 nt
Filed under: uncultured bacterium
Lineage: Bacteria
Description: partial 16S ribosomal RNA
Rfam family: Bacterial small subunit ribosomal RNA
Source: RNAcentral